AUUGAACGCUGGCGGAAUGCUUUACACAUGCAAGUCGAACGGUAGAGGGGGCAACCCCUUGAGAGUGGCGAACGGGUGAGUAAUAUAUCGGAACGUGCCCAGUCGUGGGGAUAACGUAGCGAAAGUUACGCUAAUACCGCAUACGAUCUAAGGAUGAAAGCGGGGGAUCGCAAGACCUCGCGCGAUUGGAGCGGCCGAUAUCAGAUUAGGUAGUUGGUGAGGUAAAGGCUCACCAAGCCAACGAUCUGUAGCUGGUCUGAGAGGACUACCAGCCACACUGGAACUGAGACACGGUCCAGACUCCUACGGGAGGCAGCAGUGGGGAAUUUUGGACAAUGGACGCAAGUCUGAUCCAGCCAUUCCGCGUGCAGGAUGAAGGCCCUCGGGUUGUAAACUGCUUUUGUACGGAACGAAAGGUUUCUAUUAAUACUAGGAGCUCAUGACGGUACCGUAAGAAUAAGCACCGGCUAACUACGUAGCCAGCAGCCGCGGUAAAGUGACU
This 502-nucleotide ribosomal RNA is filed under the name uncultured bacterium. RNAcentral describes it as "bacterial SSU rRNA". It matches the Rfam family "Bacterial small subunit ribosomal RNA", at positions 30 to 527 of the family's 1533-position model. The record is from RNAcentral.